RNAcentral lists this ribosomal RNA (253 nucleotides) under uncultured bacterium. RNAcentral's name for it is "partial 16S ribosomal RNA". It matches the Rfam family "Bacterial small subunit ribosomal RNA", at positions 524 to 776 of the family's 1533-position model. The record is from RNAcentral.
UACGUAGGGAGCAAGCGUUGUCCGGAAUCAUUGGGCGUAAAGCGCGCGUAGGUGGCUUCGUAAGUCCGUUGUGAAAGUCAAAGGCUCAACCUUUGAAAGCCGAUGGAUACUGCGGAGCUAGAGUACGGAAGAGGCGAGUGGAAUUCCUGGUGUAGCGGUGAAAUGCGCAGAUAUCAGGAGGAACACCGGUGGCGAAGGCGGGUCUCUGGGCAUUACCUGACGCUGAGGAGCGAAAGUGUGGGGAGCGAACAGG